This 307-nucleotide ribosomal RNA is filed under the name Paenibacillus larvae. RNAcentral's name for it is "bacterial SSU rRNA". It matches the Rfam family "Bacterial small subunit ribosomal RNA", at positions 372 to 672 of the family's 1533-position model. The record is from RNAcentral. Lineage: Bacteria; Bacillati; Bacillota; Bacilli; Caryophanales; Paenibacillaceae.
UGGACGAAAGUCUGCCGGAGUAACGCCGCGUGAGUGAUGAAGGUUUUCGGAUCGUAAAGCUCUGUUGCCAAGGAAGAACGGCCAGGGGAGUAACUGCCCCUGGAGUGACGGUACUUGAGAAGAAAGCCCCGGCUAACUACGUGCCAGCAGCCGCGGUAAUACGUAGGGGGCAAGCGUUGUCCGGAAUUAUUGGGCGUAAAGCGCGCGCAGGCGGUCUUUUAAGUCUGGUGUUUAAGCCCGGGGCUCAACCCCGGUUCGCACUGGAAACUGGGAGACUUGAGUGUAGGAGAGGAAAGUGGAAUUCCAC